UCCUUCUUAGCUCAGUUGGUAGAGCGCGUCACUAGUAGUGUGCAAUAAAUGACGAGGUCAGUCGUUCAAGUCGGCUAGAAGGAA
Molecule: non-coding RNA, 84 nt
Organism: Lentinula edodes (shiitake mushroom)
Lineage: Eukaryota; Fungi; Basidiomycota; Agaricomycetes; Agaricales; Omphalotaceae
Source: the annotation of a RefSeq genome assembly